Molecule: unclassified non-coding RNA, 107 nt
Organism: Cebus imitator (Panamanian white-faced capuchin)
Lineage: Eukaryota; Metazoa; Chordata; Mammalia; Primates; Cebidae
Rfam family: Y RNA
About the family: Y RNAs are components of the Ro ribonucleoprotein particle (Ro RNP), in association with Ro60 and La proteins. The Y RNAs and Ro60 and La proteins are well conserved, but the function of the Ro RNP is not known.
Source: Ensembl
GGAUGGUCUGAAGGUAAUGAGUUAUCCCAAUGGAUUGUUCACAGUCAGUUACAGAUUGAACUUGUUCUACUCUUUUCCCCCUUCUCACUAUUGCACUUAACAGGAAA